UGUCGUCAGCUCGUGUUGUGAAAUGUUGGGUUAAGUCCCGCAACGAGCGCAACCCUUAUCCUUUGUUGCCAGCGGUCCGGCCGGGAACUCAAAGGAGACUGCCAGUGAUAAACUGGAGGAAGGUGGGGAUGACGUCAAGUCAUCAUGGCCCUUACGACCAGGGCUACACACGUGCUACAAUGGCGCAUACAAAGAGAAGCGACCUCGCGAGAGCAAGCGGACCUCAUAAAGUGCGUCGUAGUCCGGAUUGGAGUCUGCAACUCGACUCCAUGAAGUCGGAAUCGCUAGUAAUCGUGGAUCAGAAUGCCACGGUGAAUACGUUCCCGGGCCUUGUACAC
RNAcentral lists this ribosomal RNA (338 nucleotides) under Escherichia coli. RNAcentral's name for it is "bacterial SSU rRNA". It matches the Rfam family "Bacterial small subunit ribosomal RNA", at positions 1050 to 1388 of the family's 1533-position model. Lineage: Bacteria; Pseudomonadati; Pseudomonadota; Gammaproteobacteria; Enterobacterales; Enterobacteriaceae. RNAcentral also lists the same sequence under 1 other name. The record is from RNAcentral.